Molecule: unclassified non-coding RNA, 218 nt
Filed under: Preussia flanaganii
Lineage: Eukaryota; Fungi; Ascomycota; Dothideomycetes; Pleosporales; Sporormiaceae
Description: partial internal transcribed spacer region
Rfam family: Eukaryotic small subunit ribosomal RNA (bases 1-46)
Source: RNAcentral
AAGUCGUAACAAGGUUUCCGUAGGUGAACCUGCGGAAGGAUCAUUACCUAGAGUUGUAGGCUUUGCCUGCUAUCUCUUACCCAUGUCUUUACAGUACCUUCGUUUCCUCGGCGGGCUCGCCUGCCAAUGGGGACCCCAAUAAACCCUUUGUAAUACCUGUAAUCGUCUGACAAAACAAACAAAAAUUAAAACUUUCAACAACGGAUCUCUUGGUUCUG